GGUAUUUGCACAAAGAGGAGCACUCUUUGUUCCUUCAUAAUGAGCAGGAAUCACCGAGUGCCGCAGUUGCAGCUCAUCAGCAGCCAAUGCAGUUAUGGCAUCAACGGUUAGGGCAUCUCAGCUCUAGAGGUAUGUUUGCUCUUAGAGAUAGGUUAAAACAUGGUUGUAUGUUUCAGGCUGAGGAAUCACUUUCAGAUUGUGCUGCUUGUCUUAAGGGCAAGUUGGUCGCAAAACCAUUUCCAAAGAGUGGUGCCAGUCGUGCAACCAGGGCUCUGGAGCUUGUACACUCUGACGUCUGUGGGCCCAUGCCGGUGAGCAGCUGGGGUGGUGCAAAUUAUAUUCUGACACUGACUGAUGAUUAUUCAAGGAAGAGCUACGUGUACUUGAUGAAGAACAAAUCGGAGGUAUGUAGCCGCUUCAUAGAAUUUAAAAAUAUGGUUGAAAAGCAGACUGGUUUAUCAAUCAAAUGUCUUCGUAGUGACAAUGGGACCGAGUAUGUAAAUUCAACUUUGUCUGGGUUUUUACGUGAACAGGGGAUAGUGCAUCAGCUUACCGUGCCUUAUUGUCCUCAACAGAAUGCUGUUUCAGAACGGUUGAACCGUACCCUUAUGGAUAAAGUACACUUAAGUUUUGUAAGAAAUUUCUUGGUAGAGCUCUUUACAAAUUUAAAAUUGAACUGUAUAACUGUGUAUAACGACAAUCAAAGUGCGCACAGAUUAUUAGAGUGUAAAGAAUAUUGUCACAAGCGCACUAAACACAUUGAUAUUCGUUAUCACUAUGUAAAGGACCUUGUAAAUAGCAACUUUGUGACUGUAAAAUAUUUGUGUACAGAGAAAAUGAUUGCUGAUGUGUUGACCAAACCUCUAGACAAGAAAAAGCAUAACAUGUUUAUUUAUGAGCUUUGUGUUCGACAUAUAUCAGGAUGAGAAAUGUAAUGUAUACUUUUGUAGUCAUAGAGUAAUUUAUAAUUUUUUAUUUUUUGCUGUUUACGUUAUAUGCAUAAGGGGAAGUGUUAGAAAUAUAAUAUUUAUGUGGUAUGCAUACAACGUAACACACAUAUUAUGUACUUACUCUGUGGCUUGUCCUCGCCUCUUUCUCUCUCUGCUCAACCUCCCAAUGACGCGCACUGUGUGUGAGGCUUUUAUUUGUAAUAUUAAUUGUAUUCAAGUUUGUGUAAAGAUAUUACUGACGAUAAUUAUGUGUGGUUUAUUAUGUGCAAUAAACAAACUCAUAAUGUGA
Maniola jurtina (meadow brown) is the source of this 1239-nucleotide long non-coding RNA. RefSeq lists it as uncharacterized. The transcript has 2 exons. NCBI's taxonomy places the organism in Eukaryota, Metazoa, Arthropoda, Insecta, Lepidoptera, Nymphalidae. The record is from RefSeq and is a predicted model, not a curated record.